This 253-nucleotide ribosomal RNA is filed under the name uncultured bacterium. RNAcentral's name for it is "partial 16S ribosomal RNA". It matches the Rfam family "Bacterial small subunit ribosomal RNA", at positions 524 to 776 of the family's 1533-position model. The record is from RNAcentral.
UACGGAUGGUGCAAGCGUUGUUCGGAUUUAUUGGGCGUAAAGCUCGUGUAGGCGGUUUCUUAAGUCUGAUGUGAAAGCCCUGGGCUCAACCCAGGAAGUGCAUUGGAUACUGGGAGACUUGAAUACGGGAGAGGGUAGUGGAAUUCCUAGUGUAGGAGUGAAAUCCGUAGAUAUUAGGAGGAACACCGGUGGCGAAGGCGGUUAUCUGGCCCAACAUUGACACUGAGACCCGAAAGCGUGGGGAUCAAACAGG